AACGAACGCUGGCGGCAUGCCUAACACAUGCAAGUCGAACGAUGCUUUCGGGCAUAGUGGCGCACGGGUGCGUAACGCGUGGGAAUCUGCCCUUGGGUUCGGAAUAACAGUGAGAAAUUGCUGCUAAUACCGGAUGAUGUCUUCGGACCAAAGAUUUAUCGCCCAGGGAUGAGCCCGCGUAGGAUUAGCUAGUUGGUGGGGUAAUGGCCUACCAAGGCGACGAUCCUUAGCUGGUCUGAGAGGAUGAUCUGCCACACUGGGACUGAGACACGGCCCAGACUCCUACGGGAGGCAGCAGUGGGGAAUAUUGGACAAUGGGCGCAAGCCUGAUCCAGCAAUGCCGCGUGAGUGAUGAAGGCCUUAGGGUUGUAAAGCUCUUUUACCCGGGAUGAUAAUGACAGUACCGGGAGAAUAAGCUCCGGCUAACUCCGUG
RNAcentral lists this ribosomal RNA (433 nucleotides) under uncultured bacterium. RNAcentral describes it as "partial 16S ribosomal RNA". It matches the Rfam family "Bacterial small subunit ribosomal RNA", at positions 29 to 507 of the family's 1533-position model. The record is from RNAcentral.